AUACGGAGGGUGCAAGCGUUAUCGGGAAUCAUUGGGUUUAAAGGGUCCGCGGGCGGAUUAAUAAGUCAGUGGUGAAAUCCUCUCGCUCAACGAGAGAACUGCCAUUGAAACUGUUAGUCUUGAAUUCGGUCGAAGUAGGCGGAAUGUGUCAUGUAGCGGUGAAAUGCAUAGAUAUGACACAGAACACCGAUAGCGAAGGCAGCUUACUAGACCUGGAUUGACGCUCAUGGACGAAAGCGUGGGGAGCGAACAGGAUUAGAAACCCUAGUAGUCC
This 274-nucleotide ribosomal RNA is filed under the name uncultured bacterium. RNAcentral's name for it is "partial 16S ribosomal RNA". It matches the Rfam family "Bacterial small subunit ribosomal RNA", at positions 523 to 796 of the family's 1533-position model. The record is from RNAcentral.